Molecule: transfer RNA, 77 nt
Filed under: Verrucomicrobia bacterium TMED56
Lineage: Bacteria; Pseudomonadati; Verrucomicrobiota
Also listed under: 3 other names
Description: tRNA-Val
Rfam family: tRNA
About the family: Transfer RNA (tRNA) molecules are approximately 80 nucleotides in length. Their secondary structure includes four short double-helical elements and three loops (D, anti-codon, and T loops). Further hydrogen bonds mediate the characteristic L-shaped molecular structure. tRNAs have two regions of fundamental functional importance: the anti-codon, which is responsible for specific mRNA codon recognition, and the 3' end, to which the tRNAs corresponding amino acid is attached (by aminoacyl-tRNA synthetases). tRNAs cope with the degeneracy of the genetic code in two manners: having more than one tRNA (with a specific anti-codon) for a particular amino acid; and 'wobble' base-pairing, i.e. permitting non-standard base-pairing at the 3rd anti-codon position.
Source: RNAcentral
GGGGGAUUAGCUCAGUUGGUUAGAGCGCAUGCAUGACACGCAUGAGGUCGGCAGUUCGAAUCUGCCAUCUCCCACCA